CCCUUAGAUGUUCUGGGCCGCACGCGCGCUACACUGACGAUGGCAACGAGUUUUUCCUUCGCCGAAAGGUGUGGGAAAUCUUUUGAAACAUCGUCGUGCUGGGGAUAGAUCAUUGCAAUUUUUGAUCUUGAACGAGGAAUUCCUAGUAAGCGCGAGUCAUCAGCUCGCGUUGAUUACGUCCCUGCCCUUUGUACACACCGCCCGUCGCUACUACCGAUUGAAUGGUUUAGUGAGGACUCCUGAUUGGCGCCGCCGCCCCGGCAACGGAGCAGCGGACUGCCGAAAAGUUGUUCAAACUUGAUCAUUUAGAGGAAGUAAAAGUCGUAACA
RNAcentral lists this ribosomal RNA (329 nucleotides) under uncultured eukaryote. RNAcentral's name for it is "partial 18S ribosomal RNA". It matches the Rfam family "Eukaryotic small subunit ribosomal RNA", at positions 1470 to 1796 of the family's 1831-position model. The record is from RNAcentral.